CCCUAUGGGGUGCAGCAGGCGCGAAAACUUCACACUGCAGGAAACUGUGAUGAGGGAACUCCAAGUGCGCGCACUUAGUGUGCGCUUUUCUUGACUAUUAAUCGGUCAUGGAAUAAGGGCUGGGAAAGACCGGUGCCAGCCGCCGCGGUAAUACCGGCAGCUCAAGUGGUCGUCGCUUUUAUUGGGCCUAAAACGUCCGUAGCCUGUUUGGUAAAUCUGUGGGUAAAUCAACCAGCUUAACUGGUUGAAUUCUGCAGAGACUGCCAGACUAGGGACCGGGAGAGGUGUGGGGUACUCUAGGGGUAGGGGUAAAAUCCUGUCAUCCUUAGAGGACCACCAGUUGCGAAGGCGCCACACUGGAACGGAUCCGACGGUCAGGGACGAAGCCUAGGGGCACGAACCGGAUUAGAUACCCGGGUAGUCCUGGGUGUAAACGCUGUGAACUUGGUGUCGGGAGUCCGCAAUGGGCCCCCGGUGCCGGAGUGAAGAUGUUAAGUUCACUGCCUGGGGAGUACGGUCGCAAGGCUGAAACUUAAAGGAAUUGGCGGGGGAGCACUGCAACGGGAGGAGCGUGCGGUUUAAUUGGAUUCAACGCCGGAAAACUCACACGGCCGACUGUUAGAUGAAGACCAGUGUAACGAACUUGUCGGAUUUCAGAGAGGUGGUGCAUGGCAAGGCGAAUCAGCACACUGC
RNAcentral lists this ribosomal RNA (693 nucleotides) under uncultured Candidatus Poseidoniales archaeon. RNAcentral's name for it is "bacterial SSU rRNA". It matches the Rfam family "Archaeal small subunit ribosomal RNA", at positions 321 to 1019 of the family's 1478-position model. The record is from RNAcentral. Lineage: Archaea; Methanobacteriati; Thermoplasmatota; Candidatus Poseidoniia; Candidatus Poseidoniales.